This 519-nucleotide ribosomal RNA is filed under the name uncultured Glomus. RNAcentral's name for it is "SSU rRNA". It matches the Rfam family "Eukaryotic small subunit ribosomal RNA", at positions 569 to 1092 of the family's 1831-position model. The record is from RNAcentral. Lineage: Eukaryota; Fungi; Glomeromycota; Glomeromycetes; Glomerales; Glomeraceae.
AGCAGCCGCGGUAAUUCCAGCUCCAAUAGCGUAUAUUAAAGUUGUUGCAGUUAAAAGCUCGUAGUUGAAUUUCGGGAUUAGUACGCUGGUCAUGCCUUUGGUAUGUACUGGUGUUACUGGUUCCUACCUUCUGAAGAACCGUUAUGUCAUUAAUUUGGUGUGGCGGGGAAUCAGGACUGUUACUUUGAAAAAAUUAGAGUGUUUAAAGCAGGCUCGCGCUUGAAUACAUUAGCAUGGAAUAAUGAAAUAGGACGUUGAUCCUAUUUUGUUGGUUUCUAGGAUUGACGUAAUGACUAAUAGGGAUAGUUGGGGGCAUUAGUAUUCAAUUGUCAGAGGUGAAAUUCUUGGAUUUAUUGAAGACUAACUACUGCGAAAGCAUUUGCCAAGGAUGUUUUCAUUAAUCAAGAACGAAAGUUAGGGAUCGAAGACGAUCAGAUACCGUCGUAGUCUUAACCAUAAACUAUGCCGACUAGGGAUCGGGAUGAUGUUAAUUUUUAAUGACUCAUUCGGCGCCUUAAC